This is a long non-coding RNA of Gasterosteus aculeatus aculeatus (three-spined stickleback), 3773 nucleotides long. The record is from Ensembl. Lineage: Eukaryota; Metazoa; Chordata; Actinopteri; Perciformes; Gasterosteidae.
UUUUGAUCUUCUUAGGAUGCUUCAUGUCGAGAUCAAUAUUUCCUUUUAUCAAAUACUUUUAUGUUUAUGACCAAAUACCUGUAGAACUGAUGACACUUGACUGAGCCAACGCUGUAGAAAAUGGAAAAGCAAGUCAAGGUAAUAUAUCGGUUCAUCUGAUCUCAUCAGCUUCGGAAUUUGUUGCUGAGAAAGCUUAAUUAACAGCCUCCCGCUGUGCUGCAGUUUGUGAAAUGGAAAAUACUCUGUGCCAGCUGCUAGAAGAUAGAAAAUUCCAAUUGGACGAAUCUUCUCUCUGUCCCAUUGAAUGUGGAAUUCUCUGUGCAAGCUAGUGGCUUAUUUCUUAACACUGACCUCCUUGCUGUAGCAGGAGGAUACAAUUGUGAGACUUCCACGGAUGUCGACUGUGAAACUGAACCCCAUUCCUCAGACUCAGUGAGACUGACAGGCGUCCGUCAUUAAAGCUGCAACUCAAGCUCAUCAUUGGAGCUGAGAGACGGCGCCAUGUGAGAAAGACUGGCAGGUCCCGGUACGAGGCGGACGGCGACUGAGACUCAGUGUAAUAGCAUUAGACCUGCACGGAGAGAAAGGAAGGCUGGCCCGUGGUAAUGAGCAAUUUCCUCUGGGUUAAAUGGUCCUUUGCUCUGCAGCAUGACGUUCCCAGGCUUUGGGCGGAUGCAUUGUGUGAGAACUGGGUUGAACUGAGUGGACGACAGAGAAAUAAUGGGAUUCAAGGACACGGCAAGCAAGCUCCAUGAAGCCUCGAGAUUUUCCCAAGGAGCGAGCUGUGCUGCUCCCAUAUUUGAUGUCUUACCGGGUUUACCGCAGCGGACAUGCAGUUUCACCGAGACAAGAGCCAAAAUACAGGAUCACACACACACAGUGUAUCCUGCUGGUUGCUACGCAUCAUCAUAACGAGAGCGAUUGAUAGAGAUGAAGAGAUACACAGCGAGAGGGGAAUGAAAGCCAUUCCUCCAGUCGGCUGCCGCUUUUUUUCAUGUGCACCAUGGAAGCACUCCAACUCCUCUGGAGCCGGGCCCCCCACAAUCAUCAGGCAUUAUAAAGAGUGAGACACAUCGAGUGCAACUGGGAUAACACACUUUUUUUUUUUAAUUGACAUCUCCGGUUGGACAACAGAUUGCAGACGGGGGAGAAACGCAGCCCUCUAUUUGGCCGCCUCCCCUCUGCAGUCCUUCAUUAUUUGAGGGCAUUAAAACCAAAUGAAUGUCUCCCAGACGGGAACUAAUCCCUAUGGCCUGGUGCUCCGUCUUGGCACCACCACCUUUGAUUAUUCAACAUCAAUCUGCCACAGAGAGAAUGAAAGGAGCACAAUCCGAUUAGUGACAGGUACACUCUCUGAGAUAACAGCAUUUGCUCCCUGAAGACGAAGCCAUCUGCUGGCCCUGGACAUGCUCUCCUCAUCCAUUCAUCCCCACCCAUCCCACCAGUGGUUUCCUAAUCAUUUCUGACAAGCCUCCCUUUGAUUAUUUAGAAACACUGAAGGACAAAAGUAGGGGGUUGACCUGUAGAUUGGAGCCAUCCUUCUCCCAAUCCCUCCUAUUAGCACCUCAAGGCCUUUCCUCAUCAAGCGAGUGGUGGAUUUCAUCUGGUAUUGUGCUGACAGCUCAUAGAUUAGACCCUCAAUCUCAACUACCUCCUCCCUCCCUCACCACCUCUGUCUACCUCUCCAUUGAGAGCUCCAAUCAUUCUUCUCUGGCUAAGUGUCAAUAAACCCACCCACACACACACACACAGGAUCUGAUUCCAGCCCAGGCUCAUUCAGCACUUUGUAGAAAAUGACAAAGUAAAAACUAUUAUAUUUCAAUUUAACAAUACAUUAACUUAAGCAAGAGUUUUAUUAGGGUCUAUUAAAAUGCUAUAUGCCUUGACUGGUAUUUGGAAUGUAGAGGAGUUUAUGAAGUGAAACCUGAUAUAAUUCAAGUGGCUUUUCCUCACCCUCAAAAACCAUUAAAAAAAGCAACAUACUGUAUUUCCCUUAGGAGCUGUUUUGCCAGUUUCGAGUGUCAUAAAAUAGUAGCACUGUGUCAACAAGGAGGUAAAAGGGAGGUGGAGAGCUAAAAUGGAUUAGCGUGGACAGGCCAUCAGGACUAUAGAUGAGUCUCCCAGAAGUGUUUAAAGCACCUGAGAAAUGCUUUCCGUUGUUAUCUACAGGGUAGUCGGAGCCUAUCAAAUGUGAUGAACUCUGACAGAAAAUCAGUGGUCACUGAGCUACUAAAGAAAGCCCCACCUCCCCACAUUCCUCCAAAAUGGAAUACAAUACAGAACAAAAGCUGCUCUGUAAAUUUUCAAUUGGACCAAUUUGGUUCCAGCGCCUCCUGUUUGCUGCGCCUGUCUACAGGUAUCCUGUAAACACAACUAGGAAACCUGCACAAGCAAGUGAAUGAACCAUUCAGGAAUAAUCACAAUUCACUGCCAUGGAUGUUUAGGCAGUAAAUGAACACAAACUGGUUAAAGCGUCUCGAAAGCCAGUUCUCAGAGUGUCAGCAGAAUAUUAAUUCUGCUGACACAAUGCAGGUCUCUAUCGCAUACCACAUUUUGGUAUGUCACAUUAAUGUUGAACCCGACCCUUUAGGCCACGACCACUCACUCCUCGGCAUUGUAUCUCUGCACAUAGUAAAUGAGAGAGUCAAUCUGCGCUAUCCCUGUGGGGACAGGCGCUGUGGAGCAGAGGGACCCACGGGGCCUCGCCAGCUGCCCCAUUAAUCUGUAUUCUCCAGUAGCGUGCUUACGUCUAUCUUUCCCCUGUUGAUGGGCUGGGAGAUGGAGUUUGGGCCAUUAAGAGAUUUUGUGGAACCUGAAAUAAGAGCUUCUGUAGCGUGAAGUAAUGUUGCGGUGUACAGUGAAAAAAAUUCACAUUUCACAUGGGCGCUAAAAAUAAGGGAUGGACUUGAACUGCCAGCUCCUCCAAACCUUCCCUCACAUGUUGUUGGAUCAAAAAGAGGACGAGGGAACGAAGAAAGAAGAGAGAAAGAAACGUAGGAUUUUUUUUUCCAUUAGACUAUGUAUUUAAGCCCAACCUGAAUGCUUCCAUCAUAACAGUCAUACAUAAAUGUUCAAUGAUGGUCGUGUGCUUUUUUCUGUGUUUGUUUGGCUGUUGUGAAAUAUAUGGCAGCAAAAACAGAAGUAAGCUACAUCACAACACUUUAAACAGCAGGACAUUUAUUGAAGCAGUGAGCUGUACUUCCUACAGGGCUGCGUGACAUUCUUUGUCUAAUAACGAGAGGAGUGAGGCAAGACUGAUAAGUAUGUGGAACCAAGGGCUCAAUUUGUUUAAAGAAAGCACAAAACAUGUGUGAAAAAGCUGUUGGUAGCUUCAGUCAAAAAAGCGGGCACUUUAAUGAGACCGUAAAUGAUAUGUGGAGAAAAAGCCUUAAAACAGUCUGUUUUCUCAGAGAUAGGAGUCUAUUUCUGCUCCAGCAUCUUUGCUUUUAGAAAAAUACAUCACCACAUUAAAGCGUAUUCAAGCAAUCAAGGACACUCAACACUAUUACAAUAAAAUAAGCUUUUCCUCAUGAUCACAAAAACAUAAAUAUGUUGGUGGUGUAGGUUUAUUUUUAAUGCACUUCCAUUGCAUAUGCUCACCCUGAUCCGAGCCUCUGAGUGCACUUCCAGAAGAAAUAGAACACAUUUGAUGUUGCUAACCAAGAUAAUAAAUACUGCAGCCAGAAAUCCCGGCAGGAUGCUUAUUCUAUCACUGUUCACUCGUAACUAUCAGUACACAGGGUGAUUUUAUUGGCAUAUGGAUUUAUUUUGUG